Molecule: ribosomal RNA, 828 nt
Filed under: Triticum aestivum (bread wheat)
Lineage: Eukaryota; Viridiplantae; Streptophyta; Magnoliopsida; Poales; Poaceae
Description: partial small subunit ribosomal RNA
Source: RNAcentral
AUGGCUGCCUCCUCCACUCAGCCCCUGAACCCUGCUGCUUUACCCUUCGUUCCCGUAGCCUCCGCCCCCUUGAAGCUCUGCCCCCCUGUCUCGUCCUCCCUGCCGGUUGGCUUCCCCCUCCCGCCGCAGUGCUUGCUCCCGCCGCCCUCGCUGCCGCCGCCGUGCGCGUUGUCCGUCCCGCCCUUGCCAUGGGUGCAGGUGCCUCCUCCCCCUCCGUGUCAGGUAACUGUGUACUGCAGCCCGCUAUCGUGUCCGGUGACGGUGUACUGCAUCCCUCCGCCGCCGCAGCCACCGCUGCUAUCGGGGAAGAGCUGCUGCAGCACGGAAACCGUCGACGGCGCCAGCGAUAGGUCCCUGAAGGCCGAGGUGGAAAACCGCCCCUCCCCUCGCUCUGUUCUCUCACCCAGGAGUCCCGCCUCCGUCUCGCCGCGGACGCCGAAGCCGAGGGCGGCCCCUCGGCCUAUGGGCAGCAAACCUGCCUUCGACCCAAGCAGCGGCAAGACAUCUCUCAUGAUCUGCAACAUCCCCAACGGUUUCUCGAAGCGGAGGAUCAUGGCGAUUCUAGACCAGCACUGCGCCGAGGAGAACGAAAAGCUCCGGCGGUGCGUCGGCGGCGGCGGCGAUAAGGCCGUCAAGUCGGAGUACGAUUUCCUCUACGUCCCAAUCGACUUCCGAACGAAGUACAACAAGGGGUACGCCUUCGUAAACAUGACGACGGCGACGGCGGCGCAUCGGCUGCACGAGUUCCUCCACGGCCACUCUUGGGCGGCGACGGGCUCCAAGAAAGUGUGCGAGGUCGUGCACGCAAGCAUCCAGGUACGGUGCUGA